Molecule: ribosomal RNA, 464 nt
Filed under: Vreelandella stevensii
Lineage: Bacteria; Pseudomonadati; Pseudomonadota; Gammaproteobacteria; Oceanospirillales; Halomonadaceae
Description: partial 16S ribosomal RNA
Rfam family: Bacterial small subunit ribosomal RNA
Source: RNAcentral
CCUACGGGUGGCAGCAGUGGGGAAUAUUGGACAAUGGGCGAAAGCCUGAUCCAGCCAUGCCGCGUGUGUGAAGAAGGCCUUCGGGUUGUAAAGCACUUUCAGUGGGGAAGAAAGCCUUGGGGCUAAUACCCUCGAGGAAGGACAUCACCCACAGAAGAAGCACCGGCUAACUCCGUGCCAGCAGCCGCGGUAAUACGGAGGGUGCGAGCGUUAAUCGGAAUUACUGGGCGUAAAGCGCGCGUAGGCGGUCUGAUAAGCCGGUUGUGAAAGCCCCGGGCUCAACCUGGGAACGGCAUCCGGAACUGUCAGGCUAGAGUGCAGGAGAGGAAGGUAGAAUUCCCGGUGUAGCGGUGAAAUGCGUAGAGAUCGGGAGGAAUACCAGUGGCGAAGGCGGCCUUCUGGACUGACACUGACGCUGAGGUGCGAAAGCGUGGGUAGCAAACAGGAUUAGAUACCCCAGUAUC